AUUGAACGCUGGCGGCAGGCCUAACACAUGCAAGUCGAGCGGAUGAAGGGAGCUUGCUCCUGGAUUCAGCGGCGGACGGGUGAGUAAUGCCUAGGAAUCUGCCUGGUAGUGGGGGAUAACGUCCGGAAACGGGCGCUAAUACCGCAUACGUCCUGAGGGAGAAAGUGGGGGAUCUUCGGACCUCACGCCAUCAGAUGCGCCUAGGUCGGAUUAGCUAGUUGGUGGGGUAAAGGCCUACCAAGGCGACGAUCCGUAACUGGUCUGAGAGGAUGAUCAGUCACACUGGAACUGAGACACGGUCCAGACUCCUACGGGAGGCAGCAGUGGGGAAUAUUGGACAAUGGGCGAAAGCCUGAUCCAGCCAUGCCGCGUGUGUGAAGAAGGUCUUCGGAUUGUAAAGCACUUUAAGUUGGGAGGAAGGGCAGCAAGUUAAUACCUUGCUGUUUUGACGUUACCAACAGAAUAAGCACCGGCUAACUUCGUG
Molecule: ribosomal RNA, 484 nt
Filed under: uncultured bacterium
Lineage: Bacteria
Description: partial 16S ribosomal RNA
Rfam family: Bacterial small subunit ribosomal RNA
Source: RNAcentral